Prosopis cineraria is the source of this 465-nucleotide long non-coding RNA. RefSeq lists it as uncharacterized. The record is from RefSeq and is a predicted model, not a curated record. Lineage: Eukaryota; Viridiplantae; Streptophyta; Magnoliopsida; Fabales; Fabaceae. The transcript has 5 exons.
CUACCGAACCAUUCGGCAACACUCCAAAAAUAUAUUAUCUCGAUUCUUUUGGAGGGGAACUAGGGAGGAGACAAAUUUUAUUAGAGUUGAUUAAUACGCGAUUGUGUUAUACUGUACUAACACAAAACAAUCAAUUCCAAGGUCCUUUAUAAAUUUUGAUGCGGCCUACACUUGGAAUAUAAUUAAGUGUCCAAGACAAAAGAAAAAUAGCUUGGAUUGUGACUAUUGCGUAAUGAGAUUCAUGAAGGACAUCAUUAUCCAUAACGAGAGCAUAAUUCCCAAGAUGUACUAUGAUGAUUCUUAUGUUGAAGAAUUCGGGGAUGCAGAAAUAAAUGAGGACAAAGCUGUGAUCAGGGCAAGGGAAAAGAGUCUAGAUUGGCAUAGUGGUGUCGUAGUCGUGUGAAAGCUUUAAGUUUGUGUAAUGAACUAAUUUAGUGUUCAUUUUGUAUAUAUGAGUUGCCAUAG